Molecule: unclassified non-coding RNA, 240 nt
Filed under: soil metagenome
Description: partial contains 5.8S ribosomal RNA, internal transcribed spacer 2, and large subunit ribosomal RNA
Source: RNAcentral
AACACUGUUAACCUGCGGUACCUGCGGAAGGAUCAUUACCGAGUGCGGGUCCUUUGGGCCCAACCUCCCAUCCGUGUCUAUUGUACCCUGUUGCUUCGGCGGGCCCGCCGCUUGUCGGCCGCCGGGGGGGCGCCUCUGCCCCCCGGGCCCGUGCCCGCCGGAGACCCCAACACGAACACUGUCUGAAAGCGUGCAGUCUGAGUUGAUUGAAUGCAAUCAGUUAAAACUUUUAGCAACGGA